RNAcentral lists this ribosomal RNA (467 nucleotides) under uncultured bacterium. RNAcentral describes it as "partial 16S ribosomal RNA". It matches the Rfam family "Bacterial small subunit ribosomal RNA", at positions 29 to 507 of the family's 1533-position model. The record is from RNAcentral.
ACGCACGCUGGCGGCGUGCUUAACACAUGCAAGUCGAACGGAAAGGCCCUGCUUUUGUGGGGUGCUCGAGUGGCGAACGGGUGAGUAACACGUGAGUAACCUGCCCUUGACUUUGGGAUAACUUCAGGAAACUGGGGCUAAUACCGGAUAGGAGCUCCUGCUGCAUGGUGGGGGUUGGAAAGUUUCGGCGGUUGGGGAUGGACUCGCGGCUUAUCAGCUUGUUGGUGGGGUAGUGGCUUACCAAGGCUUUGACGGGUAGCCGGCCUGAGAGGGUGACCGGCCACAUUGGGACUGAGAUACGGCCCAGACUCCUACGGGAGGCAGCAGUGGGGAAUAUUGCACAAUGAGCGGAAGCCUGAUGCAGCAACGCCGCGUGCGGGAUGACGGCCUUCGGGUUGUAAACCGCUUUCGCCUGUGACGAAGCGUGAGUGACGGUAAUGGGUAAAGAAGCACCGGCUAACUACGUG